AGUAACCUGCCUGGAGUGGGGAAUAACAGCUGGAAACAGCUGCUAAUACCGCAUAAUGCAGUUGGGCCGCAUGGCUCUGACUGCCAAAGAUUUAUCGCUCUGGGAUGGACUCGCGUCUGAUUAGCUAGUUGGUGGGGCAACGGCCCACCAAGGCGACGAUCAGUAGCCGGACUGAGAGGUUGGCCGGCCACAUUGGGACUGAGACACGGCCCAGACUCCUACGGGAGGCAGCAG
This 234-nucleotide ribosomal RNA is filed under the name uncultured bacterium. Its description in RNAcentral is "partial 16S ribosomal RNA". It matches the Rfam family "Bacterial small subunit ribosomal RNA", at positions 120 to 354 of the family's 1533-position model. The record is from RNAcentral.